CCUUGACAUGCAGAGAACUUUCCAGAGAUGGAUUGGUGCCUUCGGGAACUCUGACACAGGUGCUGCAUGGCUGUCGUCAGCUCGGUGUCGUGAGAUGUUGGGUUAAGUCCCGUAACGAGCGCAACCCUGUCCUUAGUUACCAGCACGUUAUGGUGGGCACUCUAAGGAGACUGCCGGUGACAAACCGGAGGAAGGUGGGGAUGACGUCAAGUCAUCAUGGCCCUUACGGCCUGGGCUACACACGUGCUACAAUGGUCGGUACAAAGGGUUGCCAAGCCGCGAGGUGGAGCUAAUCCCAUAAAACCGAUCGUAGUCCGGAUCGCAGUCUGCAACUCGACUGCGUGAAGUCGGAAUCGCUAGUAAUCGUGAAUCAGAAUGUCACAGUGAAUACGUUCCCGGGCCUU
Molecule: ribosomal RNA, 404 nt
Filed under: uncultured Pseudomonas sp.
Lineage: Bacteria; Pseudomonadati; Pseudomonadota; Gammaproteobacteria; Pseudomonadales; Pseudomonadaceae
Description: bacterial SSU rRNA
Rfam family: Bacterial small subunit ribosomal RNA
Source: RNAcentral